CCUACGGGUGGCAGCAGUGAGGCAUAUUGGUCAAUGGGCGCGAGCCUGAACCAGCCAAGUAGCGUGAAGGAUGACUGCCCUACGGGUUGUAAACUUCUUUUAUAAAGGAAUAAAGUGAGGCACGUGUGCCUUUUUGUAUGUACUUUAUAAAUAAGGCUCGGCUAACUCCGUGCCCGCAGCCGCGGUAAUACGGAGGAUCCGAGCGUUAUCCGGUUUUAUUGGGUUUAAAGGGAGCGUAGAUGGGUUGUUAAGUCAGUUGUGAAAGUUUGCGGCUCAACCGUAAAAUUGCAAUUGAUACUGGUAGCCUGGAGUACAGGUGAGGUAGGCGGAAUUCGUGGUGUAGCGGUGAAAUGCUUAGAUAUCACGAAGAACUCCGAUUGCGAAGGCAGCCUACUAAACUGCCACUGACAUUGAUGCUCGAAAGUGUGGGUAUCAAACAGGAUUAGAUACCCCUGUAGUC
Molecule: ribosomal RNA, 460 nt
Filed under: uncultured bacterium
Lineage: Bacteria
Description: partial 16S ribosomal RNA
Rfam family: Bacterial small subunit ribosomal RNA
Source: RNAcentral